GUUUCUGUAGUUGAAUACAACGGUGGUUUUUCAAGUCACUAGUCUUGGUUAGAAUCCUAGUAGAAACU
RNAcentral lists this transfer RNA (68 nucleotides) under Scriptaphyosemion bertholdi. RNAcentral's name for it is "tRNA-Glu". It matches the Rfam family "tRNA". From Rfam's summary of the family: Transfer RNA (tRNA) molecules are approximately 80 nucleotides in length. Their secondary structure includes four short double-helical elements and three loops (D, anti-codon, and T loops). Lineage: Eukaryota; Metazoa; Chordata; Actinopteri; Cyprinodontiformes; Nothobranchiidae. The record is from RNAcentral.